This 378-nucleotide ribosomal RNA is filed under the name uncultured eukaryote. RNAcentral's name for it is "partial 18S ribosomal RNA". It matches the Rfam family "Eukaryotic small subunit ribosomal RNA", at positions 592 to 976 of the family's 1831-position model. The record is from RNAcentral.
CAAUAGCGUAUAUUUAAGUUGUUGCAGUUAAAAAGCUCGUAGUUGGAUUUCGGGUUGGCUUCAGCGGUCUCGCUUUGCGUUUGUACUGCCGCAGCCUUCCUUCUUGCUGGGGACGGUCCUCCGGGCUUCAUUGCUUGGGGUCUGGAAUCAGCGACGUUACUUUGAGUAAAUUAGAGUGUUCAAAGCAAGCCUACGCUCUGAAUAUAAUAGCAUGGGAUAACACGACAGGACUCUGGCCUAUCGUGUUGGUCUGUAGGACCAGAGUAAUGAUUAAGAGGGACAGUCGGGGGCAUUCGUAUUCCGUUGUCAGAGGUGAAAUUCUUGGAUUUACGGAAGACGAACAUUUGCGAAAGCAUUUGCCAAGGAUGUUUUCAUUGA